GACGAACGCUGGCGGCGUGCUUAACACAUGCAAGUCGAACGGAAAGGCCCCGCUUUUGUGGGGUGCUCCAGUGGCGAACGGGUGAGUAACACGUGAGUAACCUGCCCUUGACUCUGGGAUAACCUCUGGAAACUGGGGCUAAUACUGGAUAGGAGCCUCUGCUGCAUGGUGGGGGUUUGAAAGUUUCGGCGGUUGGGGAUGGACUCGCGGCUUAUCAGCUUGUUGGUGGGGUAGUGGCUUACCAAGGCUUUGACGGGUAGCCGGCCUGAGAGGGUGACCGGCCACAUUGGGACUGAGAUACGGCCCAGACUCCUACGGGAGGCAGCAGUGGGGAAUAUUGCACAAUGGGCGGAAGCCUGAUGCAGCAACGCCGCGUGCGGGAUGACGGCCUUCGGGUUGUAAACCUCUUUCGCCUGUGACGAAGCGUGAGUGACGGUAAUGGGUAAAGAAGCACCGGCUAACUACGUG
RNAcentral lists this ribosomal RNA (468 nucleotides) under uncultured bacterium. RNAcentral describes it as "partial 16S ribosomal RNA". It matches the Rfam family "Bacterial small subunit ribosomal RNA", at positions 28 to 507 of the family's 1533-position model. The record is from RNAcentral.